GAUGAAGAACGUAGCGAAAUGCGAUAAGUAAUGUGAAUUGCAGAAUUCAGUGAAUCAUCGAAUCUUUGAACGCACAUUGCGCCCCCUGGUAUUCCGGGGGGCACACCUGUUCGAGCGCCAUUACAAACCUCAAGCCCCCGGGCUUGGUGUUGGGGAUCGGCGAGCCUCCGCGCCCGCCGUCCCCUAAAUCUAGUGGCGGUCUCGCUGUAGCUUCCUCUGCGUAGUAGCACACCUCGCACUGGGAAACAGCGCGGCCACGCCGUUAAACCCCCAACUUCUGAACGUUUGACCUCGGAUCAGGUAGGAAUACCCGCUGAACUUAAGCAUAUCAAUAAGCGGAGGA
RNAcentral lists this unclassified non-coding RNA (343 nucleotides) under soil metagenome. RNAcentral describes it as "partial contains 5.8S ribosomal RNA, internal transcribed spacer 2, and large subunit ribosomal RNA". The stretch from base 1 to 120 matches the Rfam family "5.8S ribosomal RNA", at positions 35 to 154 of the family's 154-position model. The record is from RNAcentral.